This 201-nucleotide ribosomal RNA is filed under the name uncultured bacterium. Its description in RNAcentral is "partial 16S ribosomal RNA". It matches the Rfam family "Bacterial small subunit ribosomal RNA", at positions 524 to 724 of the family's 1533-position model. The record is from RNAcentral.
UACGUAGGGUCCAAGCGUUAAUCGGAAUUACUGGGCGUAAAGCGUGCGCAGGCGGUUCUGAAAGUCAGCUGUGAAAGCCCCGGGCUUAACCUGGGAACUGCAUUUGUGACUGCACGGCUAGAGUGUGUCAGAGGGGGGUAGAAUUCCACGUGUAGCAGUGAAAUGCGUAGAUAUGUGGAGGAAUACCGAUGGCGAAGGCAG